AUAAUUUUAAAUUAAUUUAAAACUAAAAUGUAUUAUAAUUACAGUUAGUGUACAUGAUGUAGUGGAGCAUGUCUAUUAUAUUAACUUAAUAAAGCUUUAUACUUUCAUAUGUUAUCUGCAUGGUGGGGGGUGGGUGGUUGUGCAGAAAAAUUCAGGGGUGGAAGGUGAGUGAGUGGCACGUAGCAACAGAAUAAGGCACACAGAAGGUUGACUCGAGUAACCGCUGCCACGCCAUGAUUCAUCAUCAAAAUGCUGACGCCAUGGUCCCAGCCAGUGCGCGUUUAAG
Non-coding RNA from Paramuricea clavata, 286 nucleotides. The record is from the annotation of a GenBank genome assembly. Lineage: Eukaryota; Metazoa; Cnidaria; Anthozoa; Malacalcyonacea; Plexauridae.